This 255-nucleotide ribosomal RNA is filed under the name uncultured bacterium. RNAcentral's name for it is "partial 16S ribosomal RNA". It matches the Rfam family "Bacterial small subunit ribosomal RNA", at positions 523 to 776 of the family's 1533-position model. The record is from RNAcentral.
GUACGGGGGGAGCAAGCGUUGUUCGGAUUUACUGGGCGUAAAGGGCGCGUAGGCGGUCGUGACAAGUCACUUGUGAAAUCUCCGGGCUUAACUCGGAACGGUCAAGUGAUACUGUCGUGCUAGAGUACAGAAGGGGCAACUGGAAUUCUCGGUGUAGCGGUGAAAUGCGUAGAUAUCGAGAGGAACACCUGCGGCGAAGGCGGGUUGCUGGGCUGAUACUGACGCUGAGGCGCGAAAGCUAGGGGAGCGAACGGG